UAAAUAUGGAGACAUGCCGAGUUGGUAAUUGUCCGCGAAAAAUGUUAUUUGGGAUUCUCAAAAUUUAUCUUACAAGCCAUUAUCUUGAAACAACAAAGAAAAAAAUCACAUUCCAGAUGCAUAACCGAACCUGUCAACAAAAUUGUCAUAUAAAUUUUUUUUCUAGCUCAUCUCCCCAACAAAGCAACGCGAUCUUUCUGAACGGCCUGUGACAAACUUAUGUCAAAGAGCUCACACCGGAUCGGCAUUUCCAUUUCAUAGAAAGGGUUCUUCAAGACGUAAUCAGUGUAUAAUUCAUAGAUAUACUUCAACAGGGACUCCAUAUGAAGAGUUCCAGGCUCACAGACCACAAAGAAUUUUGUUCCGGUAAGAGAUUGGAAGCAAUGUAGAUCAAACGUAUCAGCUUGAAGGAGUUCGAUACCAGCACAACCAUUAACUGGGGACAACUGCUGAGAGAUAGCGUGCAUAGAAUGCCACAGACUAGCCAAUCUCAAACUAUCAUUUGUGUCCAUUUUUCCAGCCGAACCAUAAUCCUUGCAGAAGAUAAGCCCUCCUGAUUUAUUGAUGAUGUAAAGGCUGUAAAUAGCUGCCAUUUAUAUUGAAUCCUUCUGUUUGUUGAUCUGAAUUCAGAUGCAAAAUGGGGUAGUCCAAGCUCUGUACGGAAGAGGAUGGACAAAAG
This 679-nucleotide unclassified non-coding RNA is filed under the name Hevea brasiliensis (rubber tree). The record is from RNAcentral. Lineage: Eukaryota; Viridiplantae; Streptophyta; Magnoliopsida; Malpighiales; Euphorbiaceae.